Helianthus annuus (common sunflower) is the source of this 256-nucleotide long non-coding RNA. RefSeq lists it as uncharacterized. The record is from RefSeq and is a predicted model, not a curated record. Lineage: Eukaryota; Viridiplantae; Streptophyta; Magnoliopsida; Asterales; Asteraceae. The transcript is spliced from 3 exons.
UCGAUCAGGAGCUCCCAAAGGAGCCAAACCCUAGCUCAACUUUAAAUGAUCAAGUUGAAGGGUAAAUUGAAGCUCAAAUUCAUGGAUAAACAUGGAUUAAUGAUCACCAUCACAAGAGGAUCAUAAGUUGAUGCUUAACAAGCGACAUGGAAGCUUGGGAAGGAAGUGGGUCAAAUGGGACUAAUGCGCACGGGAAGCAUAUUCGGAUGCUAGGUAGUACGAGUCAUGAGGAUCAUCAAGGGAUAGAGAUCGAGGA